RNAcentral lists this transfer RNA (1783 nucleotides) under Canis lupus familiaris (dog). RNAcentral describes it as "lncRNA (ENSCAFG00845005386.1)". The stretch from base 310 to 382 matches the Rfam family "tRNA". Lineage: Eukaryota; Metazoa; Chordata; Mammalia; Carnivora; Canidae. The record is from RNAcentral.
AUGCUCCGCCCCUGGAAGCCCCGCCCCUGCUCGCGCAGCGUUGUGCCCGCCCCCAUCCCUCCCAGCCAGGGCAGCGCAGCGUCAGCCGUCUCUCGGCGGGGCUUUCUCCUAGGAUUUGCGGUUUGGUCUGCGGCAUGGACGCUUAUUGACGUUGCUGGUGAGGCGGCGGCGGCGGCGGAACUAGGCCUUCUUCGGCCAAAAGGCGCCGGCCCCCCUCUCUCUGCUCGGCUCAUCCUUGUGGUUCUCUGCGGCUGCGCGGCGGACGGUAGCGCUGUCAACUGCUCUAGCGCGGAGCGCCAGGCUGUGGUCGGCUCCAUAGCUCAGGGGUUAGAGCACUGGUCUUGUAAACCAGGGGUCGCGAGUUCAAAUCUCGCUGGGGCCUGUCUCUGUUUUUCCACCCCUCCUGGGAGAUGGAAACGUGGGAGACGAGUGAGCCAACACGAAUUUCCGUUCUUUCUGCGAGGUCUGGCCCUCGGCCGAACGGACUGUCCGUGGCCCCUAGAUUCCCGCCGACGGGAAGUGGCGUUGUUUCGGGAAGAGCUGGCUCCCUGUGCCCGUGGCCUUGCGGUCACAGGCUCCGCCGGCUCCAUGCGACUUCACAGCGGCCCCUCGCCUCCUUCGCGUGCGCUCGGAAAGCCCGUGGCAGAUCUUCCCGUGCCCCUCCUCUCACCACGCUCGGGCCAGAGGUCAGAAUGAAUGUGCUGGCGUUGUAACUGAACCAAUGAAAGAAGGAAUAAAAGUUGGUGACCUGGGUGCUCAGUGGAACUGAGCCAUCAACUGAGGUAAGACCAAGGAGUGCUGGGUAGUAGGAAGCAUUUCUGAAUAGAAAGUAGGGGAAAGUAGGACAGGUGGCCCAGGGAGAUAAAGAAACCAUCCUCGAAUAUGUUUUGGAUUGAGGAGAGGCCUCCUUAGUGGCAGGCCUGGAUGGUGGCAGAGGGCCCAAAAAGAGAGGGUCUUUAGUAUUUCUGACACUGAACUUUACCUGAUGGAGGGUUCCUGGAAAACAGCAUCAGUUAAGAAAUCCUCCUACCCACCUGUGUUCUAGCAAGUAGCUCAUUGCAAGGAAUCAGCCUUCUCCAUGUGACUUGAGAUGACCUUCUGAUGUGUAUGUGAAUAAGGCCCACCCAGACUCAGAAAGACUAGCUGAACUGACAAAUCUGGACAAAAUGCCUGUUAACUUGAGUUGACUAAACUUGUCAGCUUUCCCUCUCCCUUCAGGCCUUCAGACCUUGAAUAACCUUGAGCAAACAUUGAAAUGGCCCUUCCCCAGAACCAGCAUCCCCUGAUGAACGGUUCUAUUGUGUCAACUCAUCCCACUCCCAUACCCAGCACUUCUUCAGUGCUCAUCCCCCAUCCCCCACCUCAUUCCCAGUUAUAUCUAGUCUUGUCUAUUUCUGUCUAUGAAAGAAGAACUCUGGGGGUGCCUGGGUGGCUCAGUCUGUUAAGUGUGUAGGGCUCUUAUCUCCACCCGGUCUCCAUCUGAGGGUCAUGAGUUCAAACCCCACUCUGGGCCGCAUGAUGGGUGUGCAGCUUAUAGAAAGGAAGGAAGGAAGGAAGGAAGGAAGGAAGGAAGGAAGGAAGGAAGGAAGGCCCCUCAACAAAGUAGAAAUGGAAGGGAACUUCCUCAGUCUGAUGAAGUGCUUUGCAUGUACAAAAGACUACAGCAAACUUUAUGCUUAUGGUGAAAGACUGAAUGUUUUCUUCGGAGUCUUCAACAUUUCUUUUCAAUAUAGUACUGGAGGUGAGAGAAAAGGCUGAAGGCAUCAGACUAGAAAUGAAGAAG